GACGACCGACGCCGGCGUGCUUACCACAUGCACGUCGACCGGAAACGCCUCUUUCGGGGGGUGCUCGCGAGGAGAACGGGUGAGUAACACGUGCGUAUCCUGCCCCUGACUUUGGGAUAACUUCAGGCAACUGGGGCUAAUACCGGAUAGGCGCACCUGCUGCCUGGUGGGGGUUGGAAAGUUUCGGCGGUUGGGGCCGGACUCGCGGCUUCUCAGCUUGUUGGAGGGGUAGUGGCUUACCAAGGCUUUGACGGGUCGCCGGCCUGAGCGGGCGACCGGCCACAGUGGGGCUGAGAUACGGCCCAGACGCCUACGGGAGGCAGCAGUGUGGAAUAUUGCACAAUGGGUGGAAGCCGGAUGCAGCUAGGCCGUGGGGGGGGUGACGGCCGUCGGGUUGUAAACCGCUUUCGCUCAUGACGAAGCCUUGUGUGACGGUAGUGGGUAAAGGAGCACCGGCUAAGUACGUG
This 467-nucleotide ribosomal RNA is filed under the name uncultured bacterium. RNAcentral describes it as "partial 16S ribosomal RNA". It matches the Rfam family "Bacterial small subunit ribosomal RNA", at positions 28 to 507 of the family's 1533-position model. The record is from RNAcentral.